AGCGAACGCUGGCGGCAGGCCUAACACAUGCAAGUCGAACGAACCUUUCGGGGUUAGUGGCGGACGGGUGAGUAACACGUGGGAACGUGCCUUUAGGUUCGGAAUAACUCAGGGAAACUUGUGCUAAUACCGAAUGUGCCCUUCGGGGGAAAGAUUUAUCGCCUUUAGAGCGGCCCGCGUCUGAUUAGCUAGUUGGUUGAGGUAAUGGCUCACCAAGGCGACGAUCAGUAGCUGGUCUGAGAGGAUGAUCCGCCACAUUGGGACUGAGACACGGCCCAAACUCCUACGGGAGGCAGCAGUGGGGAAUCUUGCGCAAUGGGCGAAAGCCUGACGCAGCCAUGCCGCGUGAAUGAUGAAGGUCUUAGGAUUGUAAAAUUCUUUCACCGGGGACGAUAAUGACGGUACCCGGAGAAGAAGCCCCGGCUAACUUCGUG
RNAcentral lists this ribosomal RNA (434 nucleotides) under uncultured bacterium. RNAcentral describes it as "partial 16S ribosomal RNA". It matches the Rfam family "Bacterial small subunit ribosomal RNA", at positions 29 to 507 of the family's 1533-position model. The record is from RNAcentral.